Molecule: ribosomal RNA, 259 nt
Filed under: uncultured bacterium
Lineage: Bacteria
Description: partial 16S ribosomal RNA
Rfam family: Bacterial small subunit ribosomal RNA
Source: RNAcentral
GACGUAGGGCGCGAGCGUUGUCCGGAUUUAUUGGGCUGAUGAAAGAGCUCGUAGGCGGCUCGUUGCGUCAAUCGAUGAAACCUACUGCUUAACGGUGGGCUUGCGGUUGAUACGGGCGGGCUGGAGUUCGGUAGGGGAGACUGGAAUUCUGGUGUAGCGGUGGAAAUGACGCAGAUAUCAGGAGGAACACCGGUGGCGAAGGCGGGUCUCUGGGACCGAUACUGACGCUGAGGAGCGAAAGCGGUGGGGAGCGAACAGG